GUGAAUUGCGCCGACCCAUUGUAGCGACGCCGCUGAAGCAGCGCGUCAUAGACAAAGCGUUGCGUAGACCGGUGACAAACGUCACGAGUGACAUUCGCGACGUGUGUCUGGGGAUGAUUCAGCGAAGAUGGAUGUAAACAAAAGGAAAAUAAUUUUGUUCCCGCACGAAACCGCGAUGUGUGCGACAUUGCGGUGCAGUUUGCUUUUAUUUAUUUAUAAUUUUGUGUUGUUAAAAUGUAAAUUGAAAAGCAGAUCCCAAACUAUCGCUAUCGUGGAGGUUUGGAACCAGCUGCUAAAGGGCAGUGACUAGUAAGAGAGCAGAGCGGGCAAGUGUGACCUGGGCCUGGCGGAAGAAGACCAAUCUUUUAGCUCGACAUGCACCUACAGAGAGACAGGGUGCCAGCUCAAAAGACUUCUUUUACUCGUCGCAACAUUCUAAAAGAUUGCGGUCGCCAUGAACCAGGAGGAAGUCGGUUCACACUGCCAGCUAUGCCUCUGGCCGGAUUCGGCGUGGAUGGUAAGCGGUGGUCACCAAGAACGAGAGGGCAUCGUCGGUAUCAACGCUGCUCUGGAUCAUUCUUUCAUCCGACGACAAAGCCAAAAACCGUCCCAGAGGUUUCACCAGAGGAAGAAGCAGUCGUCGAAGGUCGCCAGCACAAGCGGGACAUCGUCCACCUCCGGCGGAGGGCUCGUUCGAGACUGGGGAAUCCUGAGGCCCGUAGGUUCCGAGUGGAGCAACCAUCGGAGCGGGUACGUUGGGAACCACAGAUCCGGCAAGGGCAGGAGCUGUCACAGCGCGAUGCUGAGCGGGCCAAAGUCAAGACGGAGCUUGCUAUUCGGGUGUUAACUUUCCGUAUACGGGAUCAAGAGUUGGAGGACAAGUUGGCUAGGGAAGGAAGACGAUCUGCACCCGAUCUCUGUUUGUCGAAGUUGGCAAAGUGUCAGUCGGACACACCGGGACAAGUCAUCAUUCUCGGCAGAUUUACCGGGAAGAAGGUCGAAAGGUCUGUCAGGUUCGCCGGGACUAAAGUCGAUGGAUCCGUCAGGUGCGCCGGGAUUAGUGACAACUCGUCCGUCAGGUCCGUCGGGACAAAAGCCACAGAACGAUGACACAGAGGAUCACGAAGUGACCGUCGGUGGCACCAGCGCCAACUUCCACAAGAAUCGAACGGAUAAGAUAUCACCAUUAGGACGACCGGCAAGCAAGCAGCGUAUGCACCAGGAUCGGGAGAGAAGCGGUAAGGAGACGGGUUCUCGUAAAGCGUCUUCAAUCUCGUCAUCCAAGUUGGCGUGUAACGCUGGGAAAGAAGCUGGAGACUGAACCAGGACACCCUCACACGGGUCGGGGACGUAACCGUGUUCGAGUUCACCGUCAAGAUGCUGCUUUGUUUUGCAAUGGGUUCUAGAUUGAGUAUGCAAUCAAAAGAUUUCGGCGCGACCGUACGUUCUGGUAGUGAGGAAAUUCUGGGAAUACCACACCUUCCUCACGGGUCGGGGAAAUGUUACGGUGAAUUGCGCCGACCCAUUGUAGCGACGCCGCUGAAGCAGCGCGUCAUAGACAAAGCGUUGCGUAGACCGGUGACAAACGUCACGAGUGACAUUCGCGACGUGUGUCUGGGGAUGAUUCAGCGAAGAUGGAUGUAAACAAAAGGAAAAUAAUUUUGUUCCCGCACGAAACCGCGAUGUGUGCGACAUUGCGGUGCAGUUUGCUUUUAUUUAUUUAUAAUUUUGUGUUGUUAAAAUGUAAAUUGAAAAGCAGAUCCCAAACUAUCGCUAUCGUGGAGGUUUGGAACCAGCUGCUAAAGGGCAGUGACUAGUAAGAGAGCAGAGCGGGCAAGUGUGACCUGGGCCUGGCGGAAGAAGACCAAUGUAAGCUUAAUUAUACUGACUUGUAAACAUUUUUUAAUCAAAUAAAUAUAGCUUUUAGCUCGACAUGCACCUACAGAGAGACAGGGUGCCAGCUCAAAAGACUUCUUUUACUCG
This is a long non-coding RNA of Culex pipiens pallens (northern house mosquito), 1983 nucleotides long. RefSeq lists it as uncharacterized. The record is from RefSeq and is a predicted model, not a curated record. Lineage: Eukaryota; Metazoa; Arthropoda; Insecta; Diptera; Culicidae. The transcript has 4 exons.